AGCUUUAGAGAGAGAGAGAGUGAUCUAGAGAGAAAUGGAGAGGAGAAGAAGAAGAAAAGGCGUAGAAAACAUCAAGCUUUCGGUAAACAAUUUAAUAUUUACUUUUAAGCAUCUUAAUGAGCAUUUAUAGAAUGAAAAUUAAUGAGGUUUAAAUUGAUGAUUUGCAUGGUUGAAUUUUAUGCCUAAACUAAGUAAUUUUAUGUGAUAAUGCAUGCUUUAUAAUCCUAUAUGAACUUGUUAAUUUACAUGUGUAAAUUUAUAUGAUUUGAUGCUCGAAAUAAAUGUUGAUAUGUGAUGCUAUUAAUGGUAGAAAAAUGAUUAAGCAUGAAAUGAUAUAUAAACAUGAGAAAUAUACAUUUAUAUUGGCAUGUAUAUUCAUAAAGUGUUUCGUUAGACUUUUUAUCUCUGAUGAGAGUGGUAUUGCGAUAUGAUUGUAGGAGUCAUCGCUGGCGAAAUACGUCCAUAGCCAUAUUUAACAUGUAGGACCACUGUCGUUGACAUGGCUGUAGUCAUGGAUCAUAUCAUGGUGUGGCAAGCCGUAAAUGUGCUAUUAGUUUGGCAAGCCACAAAUUGUUGUUAUAAAUAAAAUGAAUUGGUCAUUCCACAUGGGUAGUCGAAAACCCGUAUUGCCCUCAGUAGAUGGAAGUCGGAACGACUUUACGAAGAAUAACACGAAAGACAAUGCACAUUUAUGAUUUGUUUGAUGUUCUCUAUUACUAGCAUGAUAUAUUUGACUGACAUAACCAUGACGUGAUGGAUUUGAUGUUUUCUUUAAUAAAUAAAUUAUUUUCAUAAUUUAAUGAAGGACCCUGACAUGACUCUUGAUUGUAAGUAAUGAUGACACAUUUAAUUACCUUUAAAAUCUUAUGAUAUUAUUUAAAUACUAUUUUUCUUACUGAAUAUAUGAAACCCACCUUUUUCAUGCCUCCCUCCAAAUGAGGAAGAUAGUGAGGAAUUGAUCGCUGACCUACUCCUUAAAGUCUUUGAGGAUCCUGUGGAUCCAUAAAUCUUGAUAAAUGCAUGACUUAUUCGGCACUCUGAUGAGUCUUUUUACAUAGUGAUAGAAGUGGCUCUUUUUGUAUUUUGAUAUUUUGUAUUUUGUUACCACUUCUGCCCUUAGUUAUAUAUAUAAUUGGGAACUCAUAUUUUUUAAGGAAUUUGUAAUAAAUUUCUCUGUUGCAUACAUUUAACUAUUAUGCACUUAUAAUCUGUGUCUGUAUCUAGCACCCUUAUCUCUUAAUCAACAUUUGGGAUGUCACACUAUGUGUCACGUUCCCAAUACCGAAUAGGGGCACCAACAUGAUUACGUUGUAG
RNAcentral lists this long non-coding RNA (1314 nucleotides) under Carica papaya (papaya). RNAcentral describes it as "long non-coding RNA (CPAP_LNC013229)". The record is from RNAcentral. Lineage: Eukaryota; Viridiplantae; Streptophyta; Magnoliopsida; Brassicales; Caricaceae.